Molecule: ribosomal RNA, 160 nt
Filed under: uncultured bacterium
Lineage: Bacteria
Description: partial 16S ribosomal RNA
Rfam family: Bacterial small subunit ribosomal RNA
Source: RNAcentral
UGGGGAAUUUUGGACAAUGGGGGCAACCCUGAUCCAGCCAUGCCGCGUGAGUGAAGAAGGCCUUCGGGUUGUAAAGCUCUUUCGGCCGGGAAGAAAUCGCGCAGGCUAAUAUCCUGCGUGGAUGACGGUACCGGAAUAAGAAGCACCGGCUAACUACGUG